AGCUUUGAGCAGUGGCAGUACGGUAGCCAGUGAGAUUUAGCCAAAAUCUGAUUACUGCUAAUUGAAAACUUUCCCCACUGCCCUGCUAUGAUGACAGUCAGCACCAACAAUUUUUAACAGUCUCUAUGGAGA
Otolemur garnettii (small-eared galago) is the source of this 132-nucleotide small nuclear RNA. Its record names the gene U4. It matches the Rfam family "U4 spliceosomal RNA". From Rfam's summary of the family: U4 small nuclear RNA (U4 snRNA) is a component of the major U2-dependent spliceosome. The structure of U4 snRNA from yeast and human has been reported. Lineage: Eukaryota; Metazoa; Chordata; Mammalia; Primates; Galagidae. The record is from Ensembl.